Molecule: ribosomal RNA, 402 nt
Filed under: uncultured bacterium
Lineage: Bacteria
Description: bacterial SSU rRNA
Rfam family: Bacterial small subunit ribosomal RNA
Source: RNAcentral
UAAGGAAUAUUGGUCAAUGGGCGAAAGCCUGACCCAGCAACGCCGCGUGAGGGAUGAAGUAUUUCGGUAUGUAAACCUCGAAAGAAUGGGAAGAAUAAAUGACGGUACCAUUUAUAAGCUCCGGCUAACUACGUGCCAGCAGCCGCGGUAAUACGUAGGGAGCAAGCGUUGUUCGGAUUUACUGGGCGUAAAGGGCGCGUAGGCGGCGCGGUAAGUCACUUGUGAAAUCUCUGAGCUUAACUCAGAACGGCCAAGUGAUACUGCUGUGCUAGAGUGCGGAAGAGGCAACCGGAAUUCUUGGUGUAGCGGUGAAAUGCGUAGAUAUCAAGAGGAACACCUGAGGCGAAGGCGGGUUGCUGGGCCGACACUGACGCUGAUGCGCGAAAGCCAGGGGAGCAAACG